AGAGUUUGAUCCUGGCUCAGAACGAACGCUGGCGGCGUGUCUUAAGCAUGCAAGUCGAGCGGCAAGGGGGAGCAAUCCCCCCUAGAGCGGCGGACUGGUGAGUAACGCGUGGGUGAUCUGCCUUUGGGAUGGGGAUAGCCAUUAGAAAUAGUGGGUAAUACCGAAUGAGAUCGUAUGGUCAAGGCCAUAUGAUGAAAGGCGCUACGGCGCCGCCCGAAGAUGAGCCCGCGUCCCAUUAGCUAGUUGGUGAGGUAACGGCCCACCAAGGCGAUGAUGGGUAGCCGGCCUGAGAGGGUGUACGGCCACACUGGGACUGAGAUACGGCCCAGACUCCUACGGGAGGCAGCAGCUAAGAAUAUUCCGCAAUGGACGAAAGUCUGACGGAGCGACGCCGCGUGGAUGAAGAAGGCCGAAAGGUUGUAAAAUUCUUUUGCUGGGGAAGAAUAAGUCUGGGAGGGAAUGCCCGGAUGAUGACAUGAACCGGCGAAUAAGCCCCGGCUAACUACGUGCCAGCAGCCGCGGUAACACGUAGGGGGCGAGCGUUGUUCGGAAUUACUGGGCGUAAAGGGCAUGUAGGCGGCUUUGUAAGCCUGGCGUGAAAGUCUGCAGCUUAACUGCGGGAAUGCGUUGGGAACUGCGAAGCUUGAGUUACGGAGAGGGAGCUAGAAUUCCUGGUGUAGGGGUGAAAUCUGUAGAGAUCAGGAAGAAUACCAAUGGCGAAGGCAAGCUUCUGGCCGAUGACUGACGCUGAGGUGCGAAAGUGUGGGGAUCAAACAGGAUUAGAUACCCUGGUAGUC
Molecule: ribosomal RNA, 797 nt
Filed under: uncultured bacterium
Lineage: Bacteria
Description: bacterial SSU rRNA
Rfam family: Bacterial small subunit ribosomal RNA
Source: RNAcentral